AGAGCAACUAGAGCAGGCAGUUGAGUGGGGCGGGCGGGGAUGAGGAGGGGGUUGGGUGGCUGGUGGCCCUAGAGGCUGGCCCUAAAGAAUACCUGGACAGCCUGCCACCCUAUUGCUCCAAAAUGAAAAUCCUCUAAAAGGGUCAACUGGUGGCAGGGAACAAAACCCCGCUGAGACUGGCUGAAACACAAGUGGGGCCUGUGCUCAGGGUGCAGGAAGUGGAGCAUCCAAGGGGAGAGAUGGAGUUUCACUCUUGUUGCCCAAGCUGGAGUACAAUGUCACGAUCUUGGCUCACUGCAACCUCCACCUCCUGGGUUCAAGCAAUUCUGCCUCAGCCUCCUGAGUAGCUGGGCUUAUAGAUGACUCUGGGGACGACGACGAGGCUGCCAACCCAGCCGACAAGAGCGAGCUGCACCACACCCUGAAGAAUCUUUCCCUGAAGUUAGAUGACCUCAGCACGUGCAAUGACCUCAUCGCCAAGCACGGCGCCGCACUCCAGCGCUCCCUGACAGAGCUGGACGGCCUCAAGAUCCCAUCUGAGAGU
Molecule: small RNA, 544 nt
Filed under: Pan troglodytes (chimpanzee)
Lineage: Eukaryota; Metazoa; Chordata; Mammalia; Primates; Hominidae
Description: processed transcript
Source: RNAcentral